CUAUGCGCCUUGCCAGCCCGCUCAGGUGUGCCAGCAGCCGCGGUAAUACGUAGGUGGCGAGCGUUAUCCGGAAUGAUUGGGCGUAAAGGGUGCGCAGGCGGUCCUGCAAGUCUGGAGUGAAACGCAUGAGCUCAACUCAUGCAUGGCUUUGGAAACUGGAGGACUGGAGAGCAGGAGAGGGCGGUGGAACUCCAUGUGUAGCGGUAAAAUGCGUAGAUAUAUGGAAGAACACCAGUGGCGAAGGCGGCCGCCUGGCCUGUUGCUGACGCUGAGGCACGAAAGCGUGGGGAGCAAAUAGG
RNAcentral lists this ribosomal RNA (299 nucleotides) under uncultured bacterium. RNAcentral describes it as "partial 16S ribosomal RNA". It matches the Rfam family "Bacterial small subunit ribosomal RNA", at positions 475 to 776 of the family's 1533-position model. The record is from RNAcentral.